GACGAACGCUGGCGGCGUGCUUAACACAUGCAAGUCGAACGGUAAGGCUCCAGCUUGCUGGGGUACACGAGUGGCGAACGGGUGAGUAACACGUGGGUGACCUGCCCUGCACUUCGGUAUAAGCCUGGGAAACUGGGUCUAAUACCGGAUAGGACCGCACCGUGAGGGUGUGGUGGAAAGUUUUUUCGGUGUGGGAUGGGCCCGCGGCCUAUCAGCUUGUUGGUGGGGUAAUGGCCUACCAAGGCGGCGACGGGUAGCCGGCCUGAGAGGGUGGACGGCCACAUUGGGACUGAGACACGGUCCAGACUCCUACGGGAGGCAGCAGUAGGGAAUCUUCCGCAAUGGGCGAAAGCCUGACGGAGCAACGCCGCGUGAGUGAUGAAGGUCUUCGGAUCGUAAAACUCUGUUAUUAGGGAAGAACAUAUGUGUAAGUAACUGUGCACAUCUUGACGGUACCUAAUCAGAAAGCCACGGCUAACUACGUGCCAGCAGCCGCGGUAAUACGUAGGUGGCAAGCGUUAUCCGGAAUUAUUGGGCGUAAAGCGCGCGUAGGCGGUUUUUUAAGUCUGAUGUGAAAGCCCACGGCUCAACCGUGGAGGGUCAUUGGAAACUGGAAAACUUGAGUGCAGAAGAGGAAAGUGGAAUUCCAUGUGUAGCGGUGAAAUGCGUAGAGAUAUGGAGGAACACCAGUGGCGAAGGCGACUUUCUGGUCUGUAACUGACGCUGAUGUGCGAAAGCGUGGGGAUCAAACAGGAUUAGAUACCCUGGUAGUCCACGCCGUAAACGAUGAGUGCUAAGUGUUAGGGGGUUUCCGCCCCUUAGUGCUGCAGCUAACGCAUUAAGCACUCCGCCUGGGGAGUACGACCGCAAGGUUGAAACUCAAAGGAAUUGACGGGGACCCGCACAAGCGGUGGAGCAUGUGGUUUAAUUCGAAGCAACGCGAAGAACCUUACCAAAUCUUGACAUCCUUUGACAACUCUAGAGAUAGAGCUUUCCCCUUCGGGGGACAAAGUGACAGGUGGUGCAUGGUUGUCGUCAGCUCGUGUCGUGAGAUGUUGGGUUAAGUCCCGCAACGAGCGCAACCCUUAAGCUUAGUUGCCAUCAUUAAGUUGGGCACUCUAAGUUGACUGCCGGUGACAAACCGGAGGAAGGUGGGGAUGACGUCAAAUCAUCAUGCCCCUUAUGAUUUGGGCUACACACGUGCUACAAUGGACAAUACAAAGGGCAGCGAAACCGCGAGGUCAAGCAAAUCCCAUAAAGUUGUUCUCAGUUCGGAUUGUAGUCUGCAACUCGACUACAUGAAGCUGGAAUCGCUAGUAAUCGUAGAUCAGCAUGCUACGGUGAAUACGUUCCCGGGUCU
RNAcentral lists this ribosomal RNA (1360 nucleotides) under uncultured bacterium. RNAcentral's name for it is "bacterial SSU rRNA". It matches the Rfam family "Bacterial small subunit ribosomal RNA", at positions 28 to 1381 of the family's 1533-position model. The record is from RNAcentral.